AGUGAACGCUGGCGGUAGGCCUAACACAUGCAAGUCGAACGGCAGCACAGUAAGAGCUUGCUCUUACGGGUGGCGAGUGGCGGACGGGUGAGGUAUACAUCGGAAUCUACUUUUUCGUGGGGGAUAACGUAGGGAAACUUACGCUAAUACCGCAUACGCCCUACGGGUGAAAGCAGGGGAUCUUCGGACCUUGCGCGAUUGAAUGAGCCGAUGUCGGAUUAGCUAGUUGGCGGGGUAAAGGCCCACCAAGGCGACGAUCCGUAGCUGGUCUGAGAGGAUGAUCAGCCACACUGGAACUGAGAAACGGUCCAGACUCCUACGGGAGGCAGCAGUGGGGAAUAUUGGACAAUGGGCGCAAGCCUGAUCCAGCCAUACCGCGUGGGUGAAGAAGGCCUUCGGGUUGUAAAGCCCUUUUGUUGGGAAAGAAAAGCAGCAGGUUAAUACCCCGCUGUUCUGACGGUACCCAAAGAAUAAGCACCGGCUAACUUCGUG
RNAcentral lists this ribosomal RNA (492 nucleotides) under uncultured bacterium. RNAcentral's name for it is "partial 16S ribosomal RNA". It matches the Rfam family "Bacterial small subunit ribosomal RNA", at positions 29 to 507 of the family's 1533-position model. The record is from RNAcentral.